This 330-nucleotide ribosomal RNA is filed under the name uncultured bacterium. Its description in RNAcentral is "bacterial SSU rRNA". It matches the Rfam family "Bacterial small subunit ribosomal RNA", at positions 32 to 342 of the family's 1533-position model. The record is from RNAcentral.
AAUCAACGCUGGCGGCGUGCCUCAGACAUGCAAGUCGAACGCGAAAUCCCGAGCAAUCGGGAGAGUAGAGUGGCGCACGGGUGAGUAACACGUAGGUAAUCUACCUUCGGAUGGGGAAUAACAACCGGAAACGGUUGCUAAUACCGCAUAAUGCAGCGGCACCUAAUGGUGACAGUUGUUAAAGCGGGGAGUCGAAGACCUCGCGUCUGAAGAGGAGCCUGCGGCGGAUUAGCUAGUUGGUAAGGUAAUGGCUUACCAAGGCAACGAUCCGUAACCGGCCUGAGAGGGCGGUCGGUCACACUGACACUGACAUACGGGUCAGACUCCUAC